GACGAACGCUGGCGGCGUGCUUAACACAUGCAAGUCGAACGGAAAGGCCCCCAUCUUGGUGGGGGUGCUCGAGUGGCGAACGGGUGAGUAACACGUGGGUGAUCUGCCCUGUACUUCGGGAUAAGCUUGGGAAACUGGGUCUAAUACCGGAUAGGACCAUGGUUUAGUGUCUCAUGGUGGCAAGAUUAUUGUUUUGGUGCAGGAUGAGCUCGCGGCCUAUCAGCUUGUUGGUGGGGUAAUGGCCUACCAAGGCGUCGACGGGUAGCCGGCCUGAGAGGGGGGACGGCCACACUGGGACUGGGAUACGGCCCAGACUCGUACGGGAGGCAGGAGUGGGGAGUAAUGCACAAUGGGCGUGAUCCUGAUGCAGCGACGCCGCGUGGGGGAUGACGGCCUUCGGGUGGUAAACUCGUUUCGUUAGGGGCGAAGCCGCGCUUUUGGGGUGUGGUGACGGUACCUUUGUUAAGAAGCACCGGCUAACUACGUG
Molecule: ribosomal RNA, 487 nt
Filed under: uncultured bacterium
Lineage: Bacteria
Description: partial 16S ribosomal RNA
Rfam family: Bacterial small subunit ribosomal RNA
Source: RNAcentral